This is a long non-coding RNA of Megalobrama amblycephala (Wuchang bream), 650 nucleotides long. RefSeq lists it as uncharacterized. Lineage: Eukaryota; Metazoa; Chordata; Actinopteri; Cypriniformes; Xenocyprididae. The transcript is spliced from 3 exons. The record is from RefSeq and is a predicted model, not a curated record.
UGUUAAAUGUCGCUGUAGAUUUUGCAGCACAGUACUGUAAAAACCUACAGUACAGUACCAUAUUUCUAUAUUACAGUAAAAUACUGUAAUUUAUAUUGCAUUCUGGGUAAUUUUGAUUGAGCGGGAAUAUUUUACAGUACAUUUUAGUGUUGCUGUAACCCUGCUGUAACCUGGCUGUAAUAUACCAGGCAAUAAUACAGGAUUGCUGUAAAUAACGCGCCACCUGACGUCACAUCACACAGACAGAAGAACACAGCCGCUGGUGACUGGAGAAGCAGAACGGUGUAUUUCUGGAAGUUUGCAGUGUGGUCCACUUGUCUUUGCAUCCUGGGAAGUGCAUUGCUUUCACAAGGAAGCGUAUUUUUUUGGCAUUGAAGGAAAGAAAUGUACUGCCCGACAGGGAGUGAGCAGAGGACCAGGACGGUGGUGCAGAGUGAUGGCCAUCAACCCACAUGUCAACAGCUUUGUUCGGUCCUUUGUGUUUAAAUGGAAGACUUCACACUGAGGGACUGUGGCCUGUUUGCAACCAUCCACGUGCCCUUCAGUUAGGGGUGAAUCUUGUGGGACACUUGUUGUUUUUGCUCACUUUUUAAGAUAAAUCAAAUUUCUGAUGCACUGUACCAAGACCGUUGCUGAUGGGGCGAAAGAUG